UUCUUUCUGAUGUGUUAUUCAACGUGUUAGGCUCUGACGAAAAGUCGUUUUGGUAACAUGUGCGAUGUGUCUUUCAGGCUCUGCGUUUCUCUCUACCACCGUCGUGACUCCUCUGCUCAUAAGACACAUCUUACUCUCGCUUCCUCUGCUUACAUUGAAUUGCUCUUUCUUCAAUGCUCUCUAGCUCAGAAAUCUCAUUAAUCUAAUUAUUGAUUAUGGGCACCCUCUUGAGAGCUCUUCGUGACUUACCACUUGUGGAAGCGUCUUCGAUCUGCAUCACUUUGGCUCUUCUCUUAGUGUUUAUCAUCGAUAUCUCCGCGAGACGGUUGCUUCUCUGCCUCCGUCGCGGUCCUUUCCUCAAACACGACUCUAUAGGAAUCUCUAGUUCAGGAGACGCCCGCGAGCUUCAAGUCACCAUUGGCUACAAAUUCUCGGUUCUUUGCUGUUUCUUCGUCUUAAUCGUGCACGUUUCAGUUUUAGUGUUGGAUGUUGUCGGAGUAACUAAGGAAAGAAACGCGAUUAGUGUUCUUUUCUCGCCGGUUACAGAGGUUGUAGCUUGGUUAGUGUUGUGCGCAUCAGUUGUUCGAUGUAAUUACACCUCUGCGGAAAAGUUCCCUUUGCUGUUAAGGCUAUGGUGGGUUGUGGGUUUCUUCUUUUGUUUAUGGGCUUUGAUCAUAGACUCCAGAGAGCUUGUUGUGAACGGCUCGAACCAUUUGUCUUCACACGUCGUUGGGAACUUUGUUUCAGCUCCUGCUCUGGCUUUCCUCUGCUUCGUGGCUCUCAGAGGUGUAUCAGGUCUUCGAGUUAUUACUACACAUUCACAUCUUCUUGACCCUCUGCUUGUCGAAGAAGAAGAAGAAGAAAAAGCUGGGUGUCUCAGUGUUACUUCCUACAGCGACGCCGGGUUGUUCAGCCUCGCUACGCUUUCGUGGCUGAAUCCUCUCCUCUCCCUUGGCGCGGUGAUUUCCGCCGGUUUGAAGACAUCCGUACAAGUGAUCCACAUCUUCAUACCACUUCAAGUUUGUUGGACAUUCAAGGGGAAGCUUACCGUUUAUUAGAUCUUCAUAACCAUUGCCUUUGAACGUGAUCAUACUAGGUUUUAUCUUGAACUGCUUGAAAUCGUGAAUCCAAAAACUUAACACCCAAACGUCAAUGAAGGCAAUCCGUUUGGACCAGAAUGGGGUGGGAUUUCGCAUGAACCUUUUAAUGAGGACGUUUAUAUACGCACCGACAUACUACACAAAGAAUAUUAACAAGUCAGCCGUAAUCAAAUAUAUAAGUCAGCCGUAAUCAAAUAUAUAACUCAGCUGUAAUAGAAUAUAUAACUCAGUCGUACUAAAGACUUACAUUAUCAAACACCCAUCCAUAUUCUUUUUCUGGCCACGGUCUUUCAUGGAUGAGUAUGAUGUAGAAGUCACUCUCAUGAUCAGCUGAGAGGACUGCUGGUUUAUCUGCUGGUGCUGGUGGUUUGGGUGGAAUUCCCUUAAUGUGUUGCAUCAGUUUUUCGAAUAGCACUGGAUCAACAGGUGCUAGAGGGUCAUAUAUUGCUGAUGAAAGCUUAACAUUCUUCCUCAUGCACGUCGUUCCAUCGUCUCCAAUGUACGAAAAAACUGAUGGUGAAGAAACUGCCGUCAAUGCAAACCCUUUUGGAGAUAAUUGAAAACAUUUCUCCCGAUAUUCCUUUACUACAGCAGAUCUAACCUCUUCCUGAUUCUCGACAUCAGUCUCCGGCGUAAAUUCGUUCUCUUCCACAAGAACUUCGUCGUUCGUCACAGCACAUUCACUGUCCUCUCCAGCAUGUUUUUGCUUCUUUAACUUAGCAUGUUUUUGCUUCUUUAGCUCAGCCAGUUUUUGCUUCUUUAACUUAGCAUGUUUUUGCUUCUUUAGCUCAGCCAGUUUUUGCUUCUUUAACUCAGUCUCUUUUCUCUUAGUCUCGGCUUCUUGAUUCUUUAAAUCAGCCAGUUUUUGCUUCUUUAACGCAGCCUAUUUUCUCUUAGCGUCAGCCUUCUCCUUCCUUUUCAACGCAGCCUCUGCCUGCACUGCUUUUUUCUUAUCAGCGGCAUCCUCAUCCUUUACAGUACGCCUACCCCUGCAGCCGCGUACAUAGGCUGGAACCUUAGCAUCCUUAUCAUCCUUAGUAGCCUUUGAAGGAGAAACAUAUACGAAAUCAAGAUCAGUAGCUUUAGCGACACUACCAAACUCCUCAGCCAAAGUCCUUUUCACCCCUGUAUCCUUACCAAACUCCUCAGCCAAAGUUCUUUUCACCCAUGUAUCCUUAUCAAACUCCUCAGCCAAAGUCCUUUUCACCCCUGUAUCCUUACUAGGAUUCUCGCCGACUAACGCUAGACUAUUGACAGACUUGACUUCUGCUGCGUAUUCUGCUGCGGUGAUGGCAAAGAUUCUUCUUCGUCGCCGUUUGAGAGGCUAUCAUAGUUUUCGGGAAUUUUCCCUAGAACUUUCAGACGCUCCUCCACUAAAGCUUUCACCAUGUCAUCAAUGGUCUUCUGGUCCAUCAAUGGUCUGUUCCGUUCUAACUCGUAAGCGUCAAACCGUGAGUCAAUCUGACCAAAUUUUCUAUAAAUAUUCUCCAGAGUACUCACAAUGGUCGUCAGAGUCGCUUUGUUCUCCAAAUCUUUGCUACCUUCCUCCUCGCUAGAACCCUUUCCCGUUGCAGAAGCUUUACCCUCAAUGUUGUUCACUUCAUUAUGUGUCUUAACUUUCUUCUGCUUCUUAGUGGGUGGCUCAGCUUCUGACGAAACUCCACCCUUCAUUUUCUUCUUCUUCUCAUUCCCCUUCCCCUGCACAUUCCCCUGCACUUUUCAAAAACCUUUCACAAAUCUACUUGUAUGUAUGUCUGUUAUCAAGCUAACGAGUUGUGGGUCGUCAGGUUCACCCGACUAUUUAGGAAACAUCUCUUCAAUUGAGUCCUUCAAAACCAUUCUCCUCACACGCACCUGCAACACCAGGUUAUAAUUAAACUCAGCCACCAAAAUAACACAUAAAUCAGCCAUCAAAUAUAAUAAAUCAGCCAUAAAAAAACUAAAAACUCAGCGUUAAACCUUACCUCGCCAUGCUCUUUGAUUUCGGCAGCCAACAAGUUAUCAAAACUUUCACGUGUACGCUUUCCAUCCCGUCGCAGAAACGGAACGUCUUCAUUAUUCACCACUCUCCCAAAAUUCUCACCGAAGCAGUCGACAUAUUCAUACGCUCAAAACAAUAACGCGACGGUCAUGCCGCUUAUUGUGUAUGACCCUCCUUCUGGAGCCAACGUUUUAAUAGAGUCAAUGAGAACUUCGUAUACAGUCUGACCCCAUGGAUACGACCCCAUGGCUUCAUCGUCGUAUACCCUUAUUGCACUUUCAAAAGGUAUCCUUGAAUUGUGAUGCAAACAAUAGACUCCCAUGGCUUGAAGAAGUAGCAGCCCCAACCACUUACGCUUUUCAAAACUCCAAAGCGGACAGAACGCUAAUGCUUCCUUCAGUUCAUCUAACUUAGGUCCCAUCCCAAGCGGCACCUUCAACUCCUCCCAAAACUCUUUGUAUUGAUCAGGUUCAAAACUUUAUGUUGGCAAUGGACCUGUGUUUAACCCAGUGAUCUCACAAAACUCGAGCAAGCCUGAUAGCCUCAUCAACCACGAGACACCAUAUCUCCUUCUUAUGUACUCGCAGCUGUCUACAUAGUAGAUAGUGUACAGUCCUACCAGACCAUAUGCUUUCGCGUCCAGCUAGCCUAAUAACUACUCUAAUGGGAGAGUUCACCAGUUCUUUCCACACAUCAAGUCCUAUUGUUUCUCUAAUGUGGGGGAAAUUUCCUAGACGGAAAUUGUGAUUAAUAUCUUUUUUUUCUAGGUUAGAAGACUCUUCAGGGUAAAGUCUUGGAGGGUAAUCCCGUGAUUUAACUUCAGCAACAUCCAUCUGAUCAUAUAACCCAACAAUAAAUCAGCCACAAGAUAACAAUAACACAGCCAUAACAUAACAAUAACUCAACAAAAUAAAAAUAACUCAACCACAACAUAACAGUAACUCAGCCAUAACAUAACAAUUCCUCAGUCACGACAUAGCGAUAACUCAACAAUAACAUAACAAUUACUUAGUCACAACAAAACCCUAACUCAGACGCAACAAAACCCUAACUCAGACGCAACAAAACCCUCAACCCUAUCACAGCCGCAACAUAACCUUAUCUCAGUCGCAACAAAAUAUAUAACUCACAUGAAAUAUAAUAUAUAACUGACCCACAAACUCAACCAAAACACAAUAUAUAACGUCGCGAAAUCCUACCGGAAAAGACGAACUCGUAGAUAAGAAUGCGACGAAGACGAUUUCGUAUAAACGACUGAAGACGACGAUUUCGGGGAAGACGAUAUCGGAGAAGACACAAUAUCAACGACAGAGAGUUAGUUCGAGAAAGACGAAGUAAACACAAUGUCGACGAGGAUUUCGGAGAGUGGGAGAAAGCUUGCGGUUCCUUCUUCGAGACGACGACAAUGUUCUUCGUUUCUUUUUUUUUAACCCUUAUGUAUUUGUGGAGAAGGAGACGGUUUGAUUUCUAUUUUGCUUAUGUGGAUUGUUAAUUACUGAUGUGGAUUUAGUGGUUAAAAAUAAUUUCAAUUAAAAAAAACUAAUCAGAUGCUCUUAUUGUCAUUUACUAGGUGUAUCCAAACAUUUUAGUAAUUUUAAAAAGAUAUAUAACACUCUCUACUAAACCAAAUUUUCUAUAAUAAUUUUCUCAAUAUAUAACACACUACUGCUAUUUAAGACUAUAUAUAUAUUAUGAUUGCGUCUGAAGAUCAGAAAACCUCGACUGCAUCUACAUUAUAUGUAAUCUGGUGUAUGUAUGUGUGUGUGAGAGAGAGAGAGAGUUUCAGAUUUAAAGGUAAGAAGAAGAAGAGGAGAAAGCAAAUCCAAAUUGAUCCUACAUUUUGCGACUCAAUCUCUCUCUCUGUUGUAACGCCAUUAUCAUACACAGCUGGAAACAUCUCUUCUACUCUCUCUCUCUCUCUCUCUCUUCUCGGCUAGGGCGGGGAGAGAGAAGGAGAAGCGACAUUGUCUUCGAUCACGGUAUUGUCGUACAUAAAUUUUAAAAAAUUUCAUCAUGUGUGUUUUUGUCUUCUUGUGUCUUUCUCUAGAUAACAUCGAUGCAACACAACAAAAAGUCUUUAAAAAGAACAUAUUUCUUCUUCUUUCUGAUGUGUUAUUCAACGUGUUAGGCUCUGACGAAAAGUCGUUUUGGUAACAUGUGCGAUGUGUCUUUCAGGCUCUGCGUUUCUCUCUACCACCGUCGUGACUCCUCUGCUCAUAAGACACAUCUUACUCUCGCUUCCUCUGCUUACAUUGAAUUGCUCUUUCUUCAAUGCUCUCUAGCUCAGAAAUCUCAUUAAUCUAAUUAUUGAUUAUGGGCACCCUCUUGAGAGCUCUUCGUGACUUACCACUUGUGGAAGCGUCUUCGAUCUGCAUCACUUUGGCUCUUCUCUUAGUGUUUAUCAUCGAUAUCUCCGCGAGACGGUUGCUUCUCUGCCUCCGUCGCGGUCCUUUCCUCAAACACGACUCUAUAGGAAUCUCUAGUUCAGGAGACGCCCGCGAGCUUCAAGUCACCAUUGGCUACAAAUUCUCGGUUCUUUGCUGUUUCUUCGUCUUAAUCGUGCACGUUUCAGUUUUAGUGUUGGAUGUUGUCGGAGUAACUAAGGAAAGAAACGCGAUUAGUGUUCUUUUCUCGCCGGUUACAGAGGUUGUAGCUUGGUUAGUGUUGUGCGCAUCAGUUGUUCGAUGUAAUUACACCUCUGCGGAAAAGUUCCCUUUGCUGUUAAGGCUAUGGUGGGUUGUGGGUUUCUUCUUUUGUUUAUGGGCUUUGAUCAUAGACUCCAGAGAGCUUGUUGUGAACGGCUCGAACCAUUUGUCUUCAC
This 5902-nucleotide long non-coding RNA is filed under the name Brassica napus (rape). Its description in RNAcentral is "long non-coding RNA (BNAP_LNC022651)". Lineage: Eukaryota; Viridiplantae; Streptophyta; Magnoliopsida; Brassicales; Brassicaceae. The record is from RNAcentral.